This 383-nucleotide ribosomal RNA is filed under the name uncultured bacterium. RNAcentral's name for it is "bacterial SSU rRNA". It matches the Rfam family "Bacterial small subunit ribosomal RNA", at positions 30 to 414 of the family's 1533-position model. The record is from RNAcentral.
AUUGAACGCUGGCGGCAUGCCUUACACAUGCAAGUCGAACGGUAACGGGCCUUCGGGUGCCGACGAGUGGCGAACGGGUGAGUAAUGCAUCGGAACGUACCUUUCAGUGGGGGAUAACGUAGCGAAAGUUACGCUAAUACCGCAUAUUCUGUGAGCAGGAAAGCAGGGGAUCGCAAGACCUUGUGCUGAUUGAGCGGCCGAUGUCAGAUUAGCUAGUUGGUGAGGUAAAGGCUCACCAAGGCGACGAUCUGUAGCGGGUCUGAGAGGAUGAUCCGCCACACUGGAACUGAGACACGGUCCAGACUCCUACGGGAGGCAGCAGUGGGGAAUUUUGGACAAUGGGGGCGAACCCUGAUCCAGCCAUGCCGCGUGAGUGAAGAAGG